Molecule: transfer RNA, 62 nt
Filed under: marine eukaryotic metagenome
Rfam family: tRNA
About the family: Transfer RNA (tRNA) molecules are approximately 80 nucleotides in length.
Source: RNAcentral
AUUAGCUCAGCUGGUAGAGCACACGACUUUUAAUCGUAUGGUCACAGGUUCGAAUCCUGUAU